RNAcentral lists this RNase P RNA (329 nucleotides) under Acholeplasmataceae bacterium. RNAcentral's name for it is "RNase P RNA component class B". It matches the Rfam family "Bacterial RNase P class B". Rfam says of the family: Ribonuclease P (RNase P) is a ubiquitous endoribonuclease, found in archaea, bacteria and eukarya as well as chloroplasts and mitochondria. Its best characterised activity is the generation of mature 5'-ends of tRNAs by cleaving the 5'-leader elements of precursor-tRNAs. The record is from RNAcentral. Lineage: Bacteria; Bacillati; Mycoplasmatota; Mollicutes; Acholeplasmatales; Acholeplasmataceae.
GUAUUCGGGUAAUCGAGCAAUUUUAAUUGUUAGGAAAGUCCUUGCUAGCACAGCUGAGAUGCUGUAGUGUUUAUGCCUAAUCAAUUCAUAAGUUAGGACAUCUGGAAGGUGAUGGCGAGAAUUUAUCCUGUUAAAUGGAUAAAAGCUCCUAAGGUGCCACAGAGACGAUGCCUAUAGGAAACUAUAGGAGUGGAACGGGUAAACCCCAUAAGCUAGAAACCCAAAUUUGGUAGGGGAAUCUUAAAUCAUAAAUGAAUUGAUUUAAGACUAUUUUAAAUAGAGAUAAAUGAUUACCGCUUAGUAAUAAGUACAGAACAAGGCUUACAGAA